Molecule: long non-coding RNA, 207 nt
Filed under: Elaeis guineensis (African oil palm)
Lineage: Eukaryota; Viridiplantae; Streptophyta; Magnoliopsida; Arecales; Arecaceae
Description: long non-coding RNA (EGUI_LNC047527)
Source: RNAcentral
GCUGAGUUUCUUAUCAGACAGUUGGGAGAUAUUGGUAGUGACGCUGAGUAAUUCCACUAAUAGUGACAAACUUAUCCUGACUAUGGUAAGGAUAGCAUAUUGAAUGAAGCAAAUAGAAAAAAGAGCAGGAUUUGACAGAUAAAGGUUCUGAGGUAUUGGUUACAGAGUAGAGGAGAAGCGAAAAUAGACCCUCUAAUAAUAGAAAGG